GGCGGACGGGUGAGUAAUGUAUAGGAACUUGCCUAGUAGUGGGGGGACAACGUGUGGAAACGCACGCUAAUACCGCAUACGCCCUACGGGGGAAAGGAGGGGAUCUCUUCGGAGACCUUUCGCUAUUGGAUGAGCCUGCGUCGGAUUAGCUUGUUGGUAGGGUAACGGCCUACCAAGGCGACGAUCCGUAGCUGGUCUGAGAGGACGAUCAGCCACACUGGGACUGAGACACGGCCCAG
RNAcentral lists this ribosomal RNA (239 nucleotides) under uncultured bacterium. RNAcentral's name for it is "partial 16S ribosomal RNA". It matches the Rfam family "Bacterial small subunit ribosomal RNA", at positions 97 to 334 of the family's 1533-position model. The record is from RNAcentral.